AAAUUUGCAAAAUAUAUUUGAUUUUCUGCCUCUUAAAACUCAUUCGUUGAACCUGCUAUAGUUAAUUAAGAUAUAUAUAUAGGUGAAACACACUGGUAUGGCAAUAUCUUCUGCUGAUUCUAUUUUUGUGCAUUGCCUUUCAGCAACUAUAAUCCCUGGUUCCAAGGAACCAUUGAUACCACGUAUGCGUCUGUGGAGGAGGGAGAGAGAGAGAGUUCUCAAUAAUCAACUAGUCCGACCAAUCUCUGAUCUUCAAAAAAUCAUGAAAGACAUUCAUCUUCGCAUCUUGCUUAAUACUUUGCAACAAAUUUGGUAUUCACAUUAGAAACUUUUCUUGUCGCGUGAAAUUCGGAACCUGAAGUGGCAAUUAAAUUGCUUUAUUGAAAAAUAUAUGGCCAACCCUUCAUUCAAGCAAGGCCAGAAAAAGAACAAAAAGCUCUUCUACACGGUGGGUACCUUGUCUCCACCUUUGCAAGCUAUAGCUUUAUGCGAGAUCUCUAAAAGGCAUCGUUGACGCCAAUCUGCUAAUUGUGCAGAGGAUCAGGUGACGAGGGUACUUUUCUCUCUUCAACAGCAAGAAAUUCAUCUCCAACUUGUGUCAUUGCAGUAGCCGUGGUUGUCGUUGUCGUUGUCGUCAUCUUCCUUGCUUGAACGGUGUCUUUGCCUCUCAUGCUCUCCUUCACAUGCCGAGCCCCAGAAACAAAUUCGGUGCUCAAAGCCGAUGUGGUUAAGAAAAUCAACAGCAGGCAGCACACUUGGAACUUCGAAUCGUCAGCCAUGGUGAUUCUGAAUGCGCUGUGUUUAUGCCUCAGAAGCAAAAUGAGAAGAGUGUCAGGGUGAUGACAAACGUUUGAUUACAAAGGCUUAGGGUCUUAUAUUAGUUGUGAAAACAAGAAGUUUUCUAAUAGAGGACAAGCAAGACUUGUCAACAACUCCUGUAGCAUUGUCUGGUGGAAUGAAAUUUCCUUAACAGAAUAAUGACAUCCAUUGCUGCUUCAUUAGUUGACAAUUCAAUUCACCAGCGCUUGCUUUUUCCCCUCAAUUCACUCAUAAUGUCUGGUCAUGUUCCAUGUCAAACAACGUGUCUGUGGUGUCUAGAGAAUCAUUGAAUACCAAACAGGUCCAGCCAAAAAGCGGUCAAUCUCAUCAUCCAAAAGCUAAACCAAACAAUACCUAAACAGAUUGGUCAUAGAAGGGACCUCAAUUUCAGGUCAUAAUCUUGACACUCUUCCCAUUCUCUCCAAUCCCUCCUCCGGCUAAAAGUCCAACAUGCUGAAGUCCAGUGAGUGCCGCCCUCCCUAUGGGCUAACUUGUCCUUCUCUCCAAUAAUUUAUCAUCAACUGCUGACUGUGAAGAGUAAAAAGAGAGUGUGUUUGGUGGUUGUUUGGCGCCGCCCUCCCGUUGGUUCUCAGACCACAGUGUUCUCAUCGCAAAGAAAGGAGCAAGUAAAAUGCUUAAUCAGAGGCAUCUUCUAUGUUACAUGUAAUGUCUUCGCUGGGUUUAUGCGCAACAUAUGGUAGUUCCUACACUGCAUAUCUUCUUUCCAACCAAGAUGUUUGAUUUCUCUCUCUCUCUCUCUCUCUCUCUCCCUCUCUCUCUCUCCAUCUAACCACCAUAAAAGUUGGGUAGCUUUUCAGUUUGCAGUAACCCGAUGGAUUGAAAAAAAGGGUGUUAGCUAAACCAAACCUGCUUCCUAGAAUAAGGAAAUUUAAGAAAGGGGGAAAAGGGAAAGAAGGGGCCUAAGAUCUAAAGUCUUGUUUGAAGAGCGUGCAAAUGAUGAAAUGACUUUGGAAUUCAGCAUGCUAUGAUUAUCCAGUGGACAGCAUCGUCAAUAAACGCAAUCAUUAGAGUAAUAGAAACAGUCUCAUAAACAUGACCUUUUGGACGCUAAUUCCCAUAACAAGAUGGCACGACUUGGAGCAGAAAUCGUCUCAAGAUCUCACUGUAUAAAGCACGCAGAUUAUUGCCAGAUCAAUCUCGCCGACAAUGUCAUAUUGUUUGCUUGAACCAUAUAUCAAACACACGUAAGGCAACCAUUUUAUUUCUAUUCCAAAAUAUUUUUUUUAUUUUAAAUUAAUCUGUUUGAUAACGCAAUUUACUUUUUCUAUUUUUGAAAUAAACUUUUAAUACAUAAAUAAAUUUGGCAUAAAAAUGAAAAGUAAUUUCUUUAUUUCUUUAUUUCUAAAAUAUAAAUAAGAAAUAAAAACACUCUCGUUACUAAUCCUUUCUAUUAGUUAGCCACCCACGUGACGUCUACCGCCGCCUACCAGCAUCUCUCGAGAAGGAAAAACUUUGUUGAUUCUCUUUUAGAAACAUAAACUUUGUGUCAUUAACAAACACGAAUUUUUGCUCAUAAACUUAUCUAGAAAUAGAAAUAAAUAAAUAAAUUAUCUUUUAAAAAAUAAUUUCUGAUCAAAAUGAUUAUAAUUCGCGCCCCAAGUCACCGGUGGACGAGUGAAAAUUUUCCCCCUUCACCCACCACCAUUAGUGCGCAAAAACAGAGUGGGCUUCUUUUAGAUGCCAUGGAACGUAGACCACACGAUCGAAUAAAGGGAAAGAACCCACUCAAUCUUCAGAAACUCCCAUAAGAGCCGAAAAAUUGAGUCAACAGAAAAAUUCCCAAAACAUGAAUCUAACAAUUAAACAUGACAACUAUCUAGAGGUCAAGAACUAUUGAAUCUCGUCUUAUAUUACCAAAAUUGAGUCAAUACAAAUGUUGCAAAAAACUCAUCGAUUUGAACCCCUAUUAAACCCAGGUCCCCCACACAUCAUCUAGAUCACCUCUCAAUUGGACAAUGGUUACAGAAAGAGGCUCACAACCUUAUGAUGCAUUAACAAUGAAUAUGGUACCGUCACAAAUGAACAAAUACAGUAGCUUUCAUUCAUGAUGUAUAAAUCCGCUAGCUGACAGAUGUAAUGUCCCAUGGACAGAGAUGCAUCCCUAUGAUCUACAAUUUCUUCAAGGUUCCCUGUAGAUUCAUGCUAUACCGAGACAGUGAACAGAUAAAUCUUCAGGACAACGGCAAGAGCCAACUGCAACAGGAAGAUUGCAGCCACUAUCAAAAACCACCUCUCCCCUGCAGACUUAAUGUGGGCUCGGAGGUUAAGAGCCACAAAGGUGGCAGACAUGAAACCAGCCACACCAGCAACCACCCAUCUGAAUAUAUCCAGCGGCACGAUGGAGAGACACUGAAUCCAGAAUUUAGAGACAAUUCAGAUUCCAAAAAAAAUUGGGAAGAAGCUAUAGUACAUCAUAGAUAAAUGGCCCGACCCUCAUCCAAACAUUGAAUUCACGGCAUAAUUAAAUUUGCUUCUAGUUAUGAAUAACUAAACAUGGCAGUUGACAUUCCCGUCACUGGAAAAUACAUUCUUGAUAGCUAUGAAGACAUGACAGUGAAAUCAAAAGAUGAAUUGAUAUCAAAACUGUCUCUACAAGUGACUUCUCCCUACUACACACUGAAAUCCUUUUCUUUGAAUCAAUUAAGAAGGCCAAAGAAAUGAUUGGGUGGGAUUGACACCUAACAAAGAACAAGAGCUCAUGGUUGCUGCCAUAUUAAUCUCAGAAAAAUAUUAAUGUAAAAGCAAAUGGUAGACCAUCCUCAAAGUAUAACCAGCGUGAAAUGUCUUAAUUGGACUUGUGUUUAUAUGAGAAGAAUGAAUCACCCAUAACAUCCUUGUAUUUUCCAUAUAUGACCCAACAAUUUUUUGUUGUUUAUUUCGAGUAUAUAAGACCACCGACGCUCUCUCUCAAAUAAGACGAAGAAACUUACCAAUGCUGGAAUGAAGACAAAAAGGGAGUAACCAUAAAGGCAAAGCAGCUGAAUAAGACCGGACGGUGCCGAGAAGUAUUUCAAGAUGACGUAUAAUCCAAGAGGUACAAUAGUAACAUAGCCAUAAAAUAAUCCAGCAGACCAUGUCACAAGAUUUAUGUCGUAGUUCCAUUGUUCUUUCUUCAGCUUGUGAGCUACAUAUGUGACAAAAGUCCCAAUUGAAGCUGCAACAAAAAUGAGGGUGGUGCAUAUCCAGAAUGGUCCAUACCUGCACAUUCAAAUAUAAUCACCUAAAAAAAGAUUGAAAACAAAAGGACAAUAUUAAACAAAAUUUUCUGCUUAGGGCCUAUCUAUCUAUGGCUGGAAGUGCAGAUCAAAUAAAACCCGAGAUAUAGAUCAGUGCACUAAAAGGUAAAGAAAAAUGCACCUUAAGAAGCUUUUAAGGAAUAUAAGAAGUGCUGAUGUCUCACUCAACUAGUCUGAAGCUGCUUUGAUUUUACAUCAAGAUGAAGGCACUCACAUGCGAUGGCGAUGAAGUGCAAAGCUCAUCAUGCACAUUUCAGUUUCAAAUAAGCUGAGUGGAUUUUAUUUUAGGGAUAUUUCAAAAGAAUUGCACUAUGGCAGUAAACCUCCCCAGCAAAAUCUCCACCAUUUACUCACAUGACACACAUUCCCUAUCAGGGUUAAAUCAUGUGGAUCAAAGCUAAAUGCUUAAAGCAUUGCUGAUACCAAAAUCCACCAUGAAUUUCCAUGAACUCUAGCACCUUUUAAAAGUGUCAUAUGAUACAAAAGUGAGAGAUUACCAAUGUGAUUCCCCUAGUUGUGUCGGAGAAUAUUGUCAUUCCACAAUCGCACAUUUCAGAAAUAAAGUCACACCACUAUUUAACAAAUCCAUGAAAUUAAUACGCCCGACCCGAAUCUCCAAGAAAGUCCUCUUGGGUCGCGGAACCAACAUCCUCGACCGAUACAAGAACACCCAAUUCGAAAAAAAGAAAAAAAAAAAAAAACCAAGAACGAAUUCACCGAACGAAAAAAGGAUCGAGGAACACGCGAGACGCCACGCGAAUCAAACGCAAGAAUCGCGGAGCCACGCAUCCAGAAUUAACAUUCUUCUCGGUCAAUAUGAAGCCUUCAAAAUGAAACCAGGAGAAUCUAUAACUCUACUCAAAUAUCGCAGGUGCCAAAAGCUCAGGACAACUUACAGAUCCGGGUUGCUGGAGGUUUUCUCAUUAAAGCUUCCUCUAAAUGGGAAUAGUGAAUCUUUAAUCCUCUCUAGCACAUCUGAUGUGUCAACAUCAAAAUACGGUUUAUAGGAGGCAACUGAGAACCAACCAAACCAACCACUUGGCUGAGAGUCAUCUGAUCCGACUGUAGAUUUUGAAAAUGUAUCUGCAUCAUAAUCAAGAAAAUGUACAUAAAUAGCAAUAUACAUAAUUUGCAACAGAAUUUCAAUCCGCUUUAAGAUUUAAACCUGACAAUAGGAUCUUCAGUAAUUUUUGGUCGAGUUAAAUAUGAAAACAGCAAAAGCGAGAAAUAAUGUAAUUGCAGCAGCAGAAGCUGAGAUAUAAAUUUCCAAGCAUGCACUGCCUUUUCUCUUCAAAUGCUUCAUCAAUCAACAAGAUUGUGCCUCAUUAAACAGAGUUCGUUUAGAUAUGAACAAACACUAGGCGGAUGGAAUCUAACAUUAAAUUUGCCUCAUUAUGCCUUUCACAAGGAUGGAAGUCAAGAGGGCAGUAGCAAAGCAACAUAAUAUCCUAAGUCCCAAAAACACACAACACAAAGUACGAUAAUGUCUUGCAUACCAUCAGCAUCUCGAGGAGGACCAGAGCCACCAGAUAUCUUCCCUUUUGCAUCGGAUGGAGGGAAAGUCUGGAGAUUUGAAUCUGAGAAAAAGAUCAUUUCUAUUGAGCUCCGAAUAAAUAAAUAAAAAUGACGUCGAUGAAAAUCAUUAGAGACAUCAAUUGCCAUGAGAUAAUAUCUCAACAAAGGCUGAGUGGCUUUCAAAUCCAGAACUGGACAAGCUGAACUGAUCCUCUAAUCGAACCUAUGCAUCAAAUCAUUGACUCAAACAACAGGAAUUUCCUCCUGCAAGAGCUACCAACGUCGGGCUUUUCCCGACGUUUUCUCCACCCAUAAAAGACGAUCUAAAUCUCAUAAACAGCAGGAACACUACUGAUAAAAGGUAAAUCGUACUGACAACAGACCCGAAUUAUCCACUAUUCCUCUUCCUAAUCAAUGCCCGAUUCACGACUUGGCAGCUCACGCAUGCCAAGCUCAAAAGCGUAGACAGCCUCAGCCAAGACAAAUCCACACUCGACGCUCGUUUUCCGCAAUCAAAGCACAGAACAGAAGGCAAAACUCGAACAGAUUCCUCUAAUCGCAGCACAUUUCACAUUUCCUAAUCUCAAAAAAACAACAACCGAGACUUCCACAAUUUUCACACCACCCGGUACCUGUGAAUCUGACAGCUACGUGCCCUGGAUCUGGGACGGCCUGCGAAAAGAUCGAGCGAGAUCAGCUGAGAUCCGACGGAAUACGACCGGUGGACAAUCCACCCACGCACGCAGCACCAGAAAUCGAGAAGCGACGAAGCGCGAUUGCGGGUCGAGGAGCGACUCACCGGAACAGAUCCCGACACCUUCUGGUUGUCGAUGCUCGUGUACUUGCCGGACAUCAUCUUGCCACGCCUCCUCCUUCUACUUCUUCUUCUGCUUCUUCUUCUUCGUCUUCUGCCGCUUCGCGACUUUGAUCGUCUUCUUCGCAGAGAUCUCGCCUCGCAGGAAUGGCGUAUCCGGAUUUUGUUUUUCUUUUUUUUUUAUUAUUCCUUUUUGCCGUCGAUAUUGUUUUUUUUAUUUGCGUGUUUCGCUCCACUUUCUGUUUGUCUGUUGCAGGGAAAACGGUGGGUCGGCUUUGGGCUGGGCCCAUUACUGGAACCCAAAAGCAGUCCGGAAAUGGGCCGAGCCCAGUCCUACUUUGGCGGGUGUUGUUCAAACUUCGAGUUUUGCUUGCGUUUCUGGCCCGUAAGGAUGUGCAUGGUUUCAAGAUAGAAUCUGAAAUCUAUGAAUCAAAUUGGUGGAAACCAAUCCUAUUCUAGGUUCUAGAAUAUGUAGGGUAGAUUUAAUCUCCAAAAAUUAACAAAUCUAUUCCAAUGGGUAAGUUAAGGGCCUGUUUGUUUGGCUUUUGUUUCUAUUUCCUGGAAUACAAUUUCUAUUCUUUUGUUCCGGGAAACAAAAAAAGAACAAAAAUGCGUUUGUUUUUUUAUUUACCAUCGGCCGUUGCAGCUUGGAUGGUAGAUCCUUUGUCCUCCACCGAGGAGGCCAAGGUUCGAAGCCCUUGCGAAACAGGGAGGCUGAAGCGCUAUGUGGUGACUUAAACGUGGCGUCGGGGUGGUGGUUUCCCCGCUAGCGAAACCUGGGGGUUUACGUGGCGGCUGUCGGCCAAAGCGAUUCCUCCAACAAAAAAAAAAAAAAUGCGUUUGUUUACACUUUUGUUCCUGGGAACACUUCCGAGAAACAAUUUUUUUCUUCUCUUUCUUUUCUUUUUCUUUUUUCUUUGGCCGGUCGCCAGCCUCGGCCAUGGUCGGUGACCGGCCAUUGAGGGUCAGCGACCUCGCCGGAGCAUUGUCGAUGGUUGGGCAAGCUCUACCUCAUCGGGCCAUCGCUAGGCGACGCCAACCCGGCGGUGGCCUGGAGAGGCCAUCGGCCCUCGUCGGCCAGUUGCCAGCCCUGGUCGAGGCCGACAACUGGCCAAAAGGAAGAAAAAAUUAAAAAAUUAAAAAAAAUUAAAAGAUUAAAAAAUUAAAAGAAACAAUAUAUAUAUAUAUAUAUAUAUAUAUAUAUAUAUAUAUAUAAGUUUAUCAAACGUGUUUCUGUUCUUUUUCUAUUCCGGAAAUAUAAAUUUUAUGCAGUUACCAAACGCAUUCUUCUAUUCAAAAAUUGUUUCCCAGAACAGAUUUAUGUUCCCUAGAACAAUUUUUGAACAUAAACGUUACCAAACACGCCUUAAGUUUUUGUGUUUAUCUUAUCCUAUGUCUUUGCUUGAUUAUACGAUAUUCUAUGGCAUUCAAUAGUAACCUGAGCUUCUAUUUCUAAUGCUAUCCAUAAUUGAGACUGGUGGAUUGUAGCACAUGAAGGUCAUUAAAGAUUGUUCACUAUUUCAAUUUCUAACGAUAUCAAGACUUUUACUUUGCUAACAUUUCAUAAUUUUCGCAUGUUUAAAUAUUAAUUGUGAUUAGUGAAUUAUAACAAAUGAUAGUCGUUAAAGGUGAUGAUUCACUGAAAUCGUUCAAUUAAGUGUAUAAGUAUAAUAUGAAUAGAUCAUGGAGCCAACUAUUUUCAAGGUAAGUUUUAGGUUCCUGAGUAUGCAAAAUAGGUUCCACAUUCCAAAUAUUAUGAAACUUAUUCGGACGGCUAAGUUCUAGGUUUCAAAUGGAACUGAAAUUACUUACCUCUACCAAGUUGUCAUCAACUUCCCUGACGAGUGAUAUCCAGCUAGCAGUAUAUAGGCUUCAUCAUUACCAUAGGAGCCAGGUUCAAUGUAGAUGUCUAGAGAGGCAAGGAGCGAGUGAUUGUCAUAUACAACAUGUUAUAAUUGAACGCCACACAUCAUAUCGAUUGAUGACAUGACAUGUGAUAAUUACUAAAUUUUUAAUAUAAUUCGGAUUUUGACAAAGUUUCAAAACUCAUGUCAAACAAUUCCCAACUAUGAUCCCAAAUCCCAAACGAUGAGACAGGUUUGGAGCUUGCCUACUCCACAACAGAAGUGUUGCCUGAACUCAUCUAACACCAUCAAAGCAAGAACAGGGUCCUUAAACCACUCGAAACGCGGAUAAGCUCCACAUGUUUCGUCCACUUUUAUCCAGGAUGGUGGUAUUAUCAUCACCCGCAAGGGAGUUGCUUAGGUAUUUUUCGGCUAAUUUAGGCUCUUAGAGGCCAAAGCAGGAGGACUCCUACAAAAGACAGAGUGGCUAACACGGUUAAGUAAGAAAAUCCGAGGUUGCCUCACCGCGUAAUCGAGUUGCAGCUGACCUAAUUUAUCUUUGUAUCCCGUCGUUUUACUUGAACAUACAAACAUCCCACAUUAGCUGCGUGCAGCGUGUUCUCCCGAUUACUCCAUUCCGACUCUCCCGACUCGAAAACAAAAAUGUCGAUCUAAUAUGACCAUUCAAACAAUUAGCAUGCCGUAAAUGCUAGGCGCGGUUCACAAAAUGAAGUCGCUUUAUUGUAACAUCAUAUUCUAUUAUUCACUCUAAGUUUGAAUCCAACAUUCAUCAGCGAGUUGCUAGAUUCACCAGAAGCCUAUCGCAUCACGGAUCAUCCAGGUGGACCACUCAGAAACUUCCUUUCGAGUACAUAGCUAACCUGCUUUCAACGCCAUAAGUCAAGACGAAUAUCUACUAAACUGCCUUCGCUGAGGAAAUUCAAAAUCCAACACAGACAGAAACUAUUAUGAACACAAGUAUCUAAACAACUUCUACAAGGGCAAUUAAUUUGUCCUUUCAAGGGACAAAAACCACAUUAAAAAAUAAUGAUAACCUCACAAGUCACAAGUUCACCAUCACAAUGCCAACGUUUGGCAAGGCAUAUGCUUUAUUAGCGGCAAGAUCAUGAUCAGCAUAUUCUUAUUCCUCGUGAUUUCAGAGUUCUUCAGAUGAAACCGCAGUCUGCUUGUAUUCUUCCCCAAUAUAUGGAGAGUCCCGACUCUGGCUACUCCACAAGAAGAUGAUUCCAUCAUCACCUGUGACAGUCUCCGCAAAUGCAGUUCUGAAUAAGGCUUUAUAGGUUCCCUGCCUACAACAUUAUUUUACAUAGGUCCAUCAGUAUUCCAAGUUAUCCAUUCCCUCUCAAGCACUUUUUAGUCCGCCCCUCGUGAGCAGCAGAGAUCUCCUUAAUGCAAGCAUAAGAACCCAUGUGGUUGCACUAAUCUUUUCCUUAAUCAUUAAAAGCAAAGCAGAGCUCAACACGGUCUUCAAAAUUUGAGCUCGCAAUCCCUUGAAAAAACCCAGAAAGCCUUCUCUAUUCCAUAUGGCGAGCAUGAUUCCAGGAAUUGUUUUGCGAGGUUUCUUCUUAGCUGUUUCUGUUCCAUUUUCACUAGAAUCGACAGCUUGAAUCAUGACCUUACACCUUCAUGCAACAAAAUGCUAAUUAGCUCUUAGUUCUGCAACAAAAGCACACAGAAUAGGUAAAUUUAUUGGAAAGAAAGAUGCACCUUAUUGCGGGAUAAGUCAAAAUAGUGGCGAUGCUCUUCGAAAGCGCACCCAAGGCAAAAGCUGAGAAUGCAGAAAGUGAUUCAGGUGAUGAACCCUUGUCUGUUUUAUUCUGUUUUCCUUUCAAGAGUCUUAGCUUGAGCUGAUCAAAGACUGUGUACUGAAGGGAAAAAAAAAAAAAAGGUCAGUCUAAUGAAAAUUCUCACACAGGGACUUAACAACAACAAUCAUCACAAUGCUUACACCACUCGAAAAGCAAAUACCUGAAUCGCAGGGUUAGAAGUCAGCAAAAGGGAGAUCCCAAGACCAUCAAACGCAUGAGUCCAAUCACCCUCAGUAAGGGUCUGCCAAAGGCCCUUGGAUUUCCCAAAGGCACUAGUUUGCAUCCUGGCAGCGGCUGUAUCCAGGGGCUACACAACAAUAUACCAAAUUCUCUCAAGAUCACUAACAAAUAUUACUUGCUAAUUUGCAUAUUAAUAAUGAUUCUAUAUUUUCUAGAUCUCAUACAGACAUAGCACAUUCAAAUGGCACUUAUAAUGCUCCAAGGUACUGAGUUCUUAAGCUAGGAUCAGUUUACAUCUGUAUGUUCAUAUAAGUGAAAGGAGAAAACUAACAAAGCAAAACUUUUUGAGAGAGGAUUCACCUGAGUAAUAAUGGCAGUGCAAGCACCAGCUGCAGCAGCCAGAACCAAAUUAGCUGAUGUUCCAACUGACUUAUAACCA
This 10697-nucleotide long non-coding RNA is filed under the name Eucalyptus grandis. RNAcentral describes it as "long non-coding RNA (EGRA_LNC005279)". Lineage: Eukaryota; Viridiplantae; Streptophyta; Magnoliopsida; Myrtales; Myrtaceae. The record is from RNAcentral.